Non-coding RNA from Nippostrongylus brasiliensis, 46 nucleotides. The record is from Rfam. Lineage: Eukaryota; Metazoa; Nematoda; Chromadorea; Rhabditida; Heligmosomidae.
CCAACGGCCCUCUUUAGGGCCACAACUCAAAUGAAAAACGAAUCAA